Molecule: small nucleolar RNA, 134 nt
Filed under: Dasypus novemcinctus (nine-banded armadillo)
Lineage: Eukaryota; Metazoa; Chordata; Mammalia; Cingulata; Dasypodidae
Description: Small nucleolar RNA SNORA70 (ENSDNOG00000031953.1)
Rfam family: Small nucleolar RNA SNORA70
About the family: snoRNA U70 seems to be exclusive to mammals and is a member of the H/ACA class of snoRNA which contain H (ANANNA) and ACA box motifs. H/ACA box snoRNAs are involved in the conversion of uridines to pseudouridines (5-ribosyluracil) a constituent of structural RNAs (transfer, ribosomal, small nuclear, and small nucleolar).
Source: RNAcentral
CUGCAGCCAAUUAAGCCUACCAUCCCCUUCUCCCAGUGGGGGCCAGGUGUGCAGUGGCUACAGAUAGCAGCCUCCUUGGUAGUGUAUGCGCCUGUUGCUUGUAAGGGUUGCCCUAAGGGAUCUUGGGGCCAGCC